AUACAAAAUUAAUCGUGCGGAUUAAUAAUCCAGGACUAUAAAACCGUGUUGUUUAUAUCGAGUCUCUUUUGGUAUAAGCGUCAAGUCCAUCGGAGAGAUCAUCAUUUUGUUCAUCUUAACGCCCUUUUUGUGUAGGAAAUUGAGGGAAGCUUAGGCUUCUCAACAUUUUAAGACGCCUAUGCAAGGGCUGGUAGGACAGACAUGC
Molecule: small nucleolar RNA, 205 nt
Filed under: Saccharomyces cerevisiae (brewer's yeast)
Lineage: Eukaryota; Fungi; Ascomycota; Saccharomycetes; Saccharomycetales; Saccharomycetaceae
Rfam family: Small nucleolar RNA snR35
Source: RNAcentral